AUUGAACGCUAGCGGCAGGCCUAACACAUGCAAGUCGAGGGGUAACUAGAGUGAUAGCAAUAUUACUUUGGCUAGACCGGCGCACGGGUGCGUAACACGUAUGCAACCUACCUUAUACUGGGGAAUAACUUCGAGAAAUCGGCGCUAAUACCCCAUAACAUUGCGAAGAGGCAUCUCUUUGCAAUUAAAGCUCCGGCGGUAUAAGAUGGGCAUGCGUCCAAUUAGCUAGUUGGUGAGGUAACGGCUCACCCAGGCUACGAUUGGUAGGGGUUCCGAGAGGAUGAUCCCCCACACUGGUACUGAGACACGGACCAGACUCCUACGGGAGGCAGCAGUGAGGAAUAUUGCGCAAUGGACGAAAGUCUGACGCAGCCAUGCCGCGUGCAGGAUGACGGCCCUAUGGGUUGUAAACUGCUUUUGUACGGGAAUAAACCCUUCUACGUGUAGGAGGCUGAAGGUACCGUAAGAAUAAGCACCGGCUAACUCCGUGCCAGCCGCCGCUGUAA
Molecule: ribosomal RNA, 506 nt
Filed under: uncultured bacterium
Lineage: Bacteria
Description: partial 16S ribosomal RNA
Rfam family: Bacterial small subunit ribosomal RNA
Source: RNAcentral